RNAcentral lists this ribosomal RNA (415 nucleotides) under Micraphorura absoloni. RNAcentral's name for it is "partial 28S ribosomal RNA". Lineage: Eukaryota; Metazoa; Arthropoda; Collembola; Poduromorpha; Onychiuridae. The record is from RNAcentral.
CCUCUCGGGGGUAAGCGGGCAGAACUUGCAAGUAAUGGUGAGAAGAUUCAGACUUUGUACUGAUGGCUGAGAGUAUUUGUUAAGCUGUUUGUUCGCAAACUGGCUGGUUUGUACUCUUUGAUCUGUUGGUAAUGCGUCGCAUUUCUUCUCAUCUACGGGUUGUAUGCAACUGAGUUUUGGUAAUUUAGGUGCUGGGGUACUGCAAAUCCUUGUUGGUUUGAGCCUUGGUUUCCAAUUACUUAUGCGGUUGUUAUAAUUUGAUCGAACAUGCGUUUAACGCGGUCAUUUGCUUAUACGAACAGUGUAUGCAUUAUAUGUGGACGAGUAAUCGUAGCAUGUGAUGUAUACUGGUUGUCGGUGAGACAUCAUGGCAUUGUUCAUGUAUUACAAUCUAAAGCAUGCGUGGUCUGCCUGU